UGAAGUGUACAGCUCAGAUGAAUAUGGAAUCAAGAGAAAUAAUCACACAAUUAAUACAAAUUUAAGAUGUUCAGGAUCUGAGGAAUACAUUAGCGAAUGUCAAUUUGGAGUUGAAGGAUAUUCAAACUGUUCUAAUGAGGAGGAGGUUGUAAUUUCCUGCUCUACACAAAUAAGAUUGGUAAAUGGAAUGUACAAGAAUGAAGGGAGACUAGAAGUGCAGAAUAAUGGAACCUGGGGAACUGUGUGUGCAGAUAAUUUUGACAUAUCGGAAGCCAGAGUGAUUUGUUCGAUGUUGGGUUUUGAUAAUCCGUUUCCGGAAAUAUGUAACACGUCUUGCUUUGGAAUAGGGAAAUUGAAACCUGUAAUAUUAGAUUUGAACUGUAUAGGAAAUGAGAUUGAUAUUUCCCAGUGUGCGUUCAAAAGAGUGGUGAAAGUUUGCAGUAAUAUA
Long non-coding RNA from Mytilus californianus (California mussel), 448 nucleotides. RefSeq lists it as uncharacterized. The record is from RefSeq and is a predicted model, not a curated record. NCBI's taxonomy places the organism in Eukaryota, Metazoa, Mollusca, Bivalvia, Mytilida, Mytilidae. The transcript is spliced from 3 exons.